This 235-nucleotide non-coding RNA is filed under the name Bacillus manliponensis. Its description in RNAcentral is "T-box sequence". It matches the Rfam family "T-box leader". From Rfam's summary of the family: Uncharged tRNA acts as the effector for transcription antitermination of genes in the T-box leader family. Lineage: Bacteria; Bacillati; Bacillota; Bacilli; Caryophanales; Bacillaceae. The record is from RNAcentral.
AUGUAUGCAAUGAAAGGAAAAGGAGUAGCAACUGUUUCCCUGUAACAGAGAGCUGGUGGUUGGUGUGAACCAGUACAAAGACAAGUGCGAAUUACAGUCCUGGAGCAUCUUUUUCGUAGUAAAGAUGUAUAUCUUUAUGAAGGAAAAGACGGUCAAAUGAUCGUUAACAAAGAAGAGAGGUAGACGCAGGGUCGUCUACAACUAGGGUGGUACCGCGAUAAUAAUCGUCCCUACU